Molecule: ribosomal RNA, 468 nt
Filed under: uncultured bacterium
Lineage: Bacteria
Description: partial 16S ribosomal RNA
Rfam family: Bacterial small subunit ribosomal RNA
Source: RNAcentral
GACGAACGCUGGCGGCGUGCUUAACACAUGCAAGUCGAACGGAAAGGCCCUGCUUUUGUGGGGUGCUCGAGUGGCGAACGGGUGAGUAACACGUGAGUAACCUGCCCUUGACUUUGGGGUAACUUCAGGAAACUGGGGCUAAUACCGGAUAGGAGCUCCUGCUGCAUGGUGGGGGUUGGAAAGUUUCGGCGGUUGGGGGUGUACUCGCGGCUUAUCAGCUUGUUGGUGGGGUAGUGGCUUACCAAGGCUUUGACGGGUAGCCGGCCUGAGAGGGUGACCGGCGACAUUGGGACUGAGAUACGGACCAGAGUCCUACGGGAGGCAGCAGUGGGGAAUAUUGCACAAUGGGCGGAAGCCUGAUGCAGAAACGCCGCGUGUGGGAUGACGGCCUUCGGGUUGUAAACCGCUUUAGCCUGUGACGAAGCGUGAGUGACGGUAAUGGGUAAAGAAGCACCGGCUAACUACGUG